Molecule: signal recognition particle RNA, 282 nt
Filed under: Aotus nancymaae (Ma's night monkey)
Lineage: Eukaryota; Metazoa; Chordata; Mammalia; Primates; Aotidae
Description: Metazoan signal recognition particle RNA (ENSANAG00000005899.1)
Rfam family: Metazoan signal recognition particle RNA
About the family: The signal recognition particle (SRP) is a universally conserved ribonucleoprotein.
Source: RNAcentral
GCCAGGCACGGUGGCGUGUGCCUGUAGUCCCAGCUACUUGGGAGGCUGAGAUGGGAGGAUCGCUUAAGCCCAAGAGUUCUGGGCUGUAGUGCGCUAUGCCGAUCGGGUGUCCGCACUAAGUCGGCAUCAAUAUGGUGACCUCCCAGGAGCGAGGGACCACCAGGUUGCCUAAGGAGGAGUGAAACGGAGCAGAUCAAAACUCCCAUGCUGAUCAGUAGUGGGAUCGUGCCUGUGAAUAGCCACUGCACUCCAGCCCGGACAACAUUGUGAGACUCCGUCUCU